RNAcentral lists this ribosomal RNA (749 nucleotides) under uncultured Mogibacterium sp. Its description in RNAcentral is "bacterial SSU rRNA". It matches the Rfam family "Bacterial small subunit ribosomal RNA", at positions 28 to 776 of the family's 1533-position model. The record is from RNAcentral. Lineage: Bacteria; Bacillati; Bacillota; Clostridia; Peptostreptococcales; Anaerovoracaceae.
GAUGAACGCUGGCGGCGUGCCUAAUACAUGCAAGUCGAGCGAGAAGCUUGGAAAUGACGCUUCGGUUGAUUUUCCAAGUGGACAGCGGCGGACGGGUGAGUAACGCGUAGGCAACCUACCCCUGACAGAGGGAUAGCCAUUGGAAACGAUGAUUAAAACCUCAUGACACCGUAGUAGCACAUGCUACAUCGGUCAAAGAUUUAUCGGUCAGGGAUGGGCCUGCGUCUGAUUAACUGGUUGGUGAGGUAACGGCUCACCAAGGUGACGAUCAGUAGCCGACCUGAGAGGGUGAUCGGCCACAUUGGAACUGAGACACGGUCCAAACUUCUACGGAAGGCAGCAGUAGGGAAUCUUGCAUAAUGGGCGAAAGCCUGAUGCAGCAACGCCGCGUGAAGGAUGAAGGCCUUCGGGUUGUAAACUUCUGUUCUAAGGGAAGAAAGAAAUGACGGUACCUUAGGAGCAAGCCCCGGCUAACUACGUGCCAGCAGCCGCGGUAAUACGUAGGGGGCAAGCGUUAUCCGGAAUUAUUGGGCGUAAAGAGUGCGUAGGUGGUUACCUAAGCGCAAGGUUUAAAUUAGAGGCUCAACCUCUACAUGCCUUGCGAACUGGGCUACUUGAGUGCAGGAGGGGAAAGCGGAAUUCCUAGUGUAGCGGUGAAAUGCGUAGAUAUUAGGAGGAACACCGGCGGCGAAGGCGGCUUUCUGGACUGUAACUGACACUGAGGCACGAAAGCGUGGGUAGCAAACAGG